AUUGAACGCUGGCGGCAGGCUUAACACAUGCAAGUCGAGCGGAGAUGAGGUGCUUGCACCUUAUCUUAGCGGCGGACGGGUGAGUAAUGCUUAGGAAUCUGCCAUUUAGUGGGGGACAACAUUCCGAAAGGAAUGCUAAUACCGCAUACGUCCUACGGGAGAAAGCAGGGGAUCUUCGGACCUUGCGCUAAAUGAUGAGCCUAAGUCGGAUUAGCUAGUUGGUGGGGUAAAGGCCUACCAAGGCGACGAUCUGUAGCGGGUCUGAGAGGAUGAUCCGCCACACUGGGACUGAGACACGGCCCAGACUCCUACGGGAGGCAGCAGUGGGGAAUAUUGGACAAUGGGGGGAACCCUGAUCCAGCCAUGCCGCGUGUGUGAAGAAGGCCUUAUGGUUGUAAAGCACUUUAAGCGAGGAGGAGGCUACUGAGACUAAUACUCUUGGAUAGUGGACGUUACUCGCAGAAUAAGCACCGGCUAACUCUGU
RNAcentral lists this ribosomal RNA (484 nucleotides) under uncultured bacterium. RNAcentral's name for it is "partial 16S ribosomal RNA". It matches the Rfam family "Bacterial small subunit ribosomal RNA", at positions 30 to 506 of the family's 1533-position model. The record is from RNAcentral.